AUUGAACGCUGGCGGCAGGCCUAACACAUGCAAGUCGAGCGGAUGAAGGGAGCUUGCUCCUGGAUUCAGCGGCGGACGGGUGAGUAAUGCCUAGGAAUCUGCCUGGUAGUGGGGGAUAACGUCCGGAAACGGGCGCUAAUACCGCAUACGUCCUGAGGGAGAAAGUGGGGGAUCUUCGGACCUCACGCUAUCAGAUGAGCCUAGGUCGGAUUAGCUAGUUGGUGGGGUAAAGGCCUACCAAGGCGACGAUCCGUAACUGGUCUGAGAGGAUGAUCAGUUACACUGGAACUGAGACACGGUCCAGCCUCCUACGGGAGGCAGCAGUGGGGAAUAUUGGACAAUGGGCGAAAGCCUGAUCCAGCCAUGCCGCGUGUGUGAAGAAGGUCUUCGGAUUGUAAAGCACUUUAAGUUGGGAGGAAGGGCAGUAAGUUAAUACCUUGCUGUUUUGACGUUACCAACAGAAUAAGCACCGGCUAACUUCGUG
RNAcentral lists this ribosomal RNA (484 nucleotides) under uncultured bacterium. Its description in RNAcentral is "partial 16S ribosomal RNA". It matches the Rfam family "Bacterial small subunit ribosomal RNA", at positions 30 to 507 of the family's 1533-position model. The record is from RNAcentral.